RNAcentral lists this ribosomal RNA (243 nucleotides) under uncultured bacterium. RNAcentral describes it as "partial 16S ribosomal RNA". It matches the Rfam family "Bacterial small subunit ribosomal RNA", at positions 531 to 773 of the family's 1533-position model. The record is from RNAcentral.
GGUGCAAGCGUUGCUCGGAAUUACUGGGCGUAAAGGGCGUGUAGGCGGUUUCGUAUGUCUGGCGUGAAAUCCCCGAGCUCAACUUGGGAAUUGCCUUCAAAACUGCGUGGCUAGAGUGUGGGAGAGGAAGGUAGAAUUCCAGGUGUAGCGGUGAAAUGCGUAGAUAUCUGGAGGAAUACCGAUGGCGAAGGCAGCCUUCUGGCCUAACACUGACGCUGAGGUGCGAAAGCAUGGGGAGCAAAC